Molecule: ribosomal RNA, 254 nt
Filed under: uncultured bacterium
Lineage: Bacteria
Description: partial 16S ribosomal RNA
Rfam family: Bacterial small subunit ribosomal RNA
Source: RNAcentral
UACAGAGGGUGCGAGCGUUAAUCGGAAUUACUGGGCGUAAAGCGCACGUAGGCGGACUUUUAAGUCGGAGGUGAAAUCCUGGAGCUCAACUCCAGAACUGCCUUCGAUACUGAGAGUCUUCGAGUUCGGGAGAGGUGAGUGGAACUGCGAGUGUAGAGGUGAAAUUCGUAGAUAUUCGCAAGAACACCAGUGGCGAAGGCGGCUCACUGGCCCGAUACUGACGCUGAGGUGCGAAAGCGUGGGGAGCAAACAGG